Molecule: ribosomal RNA, 2836 nt
Filed under: oral metagenome
Description: bacterial LSU rRNA
Rfam family: Bacterial large subunit ribosomal RNA
Source: RNAcentral
GGAGGCGAAGAAGGACGUGGACAGCUGCGAUAAGCUCCGGGGAGUCGCUAACAGACUGUAAUCCGGAGAUGUCCGAAUGGGGCAACCCGGCAGGGUAUACCUGUCAGCCGCUGGUGAAUCUAUAGCCAGUGUGUAGCCAACCCAGGGAACUGAAACAUCUAAGUACCUGGAGGAAAAGAAAGCAAUUGCGAUUCCCUCAGUAGCGGCGAGCGAAAGGGGAGCAGCCUAAACCUGUCAACGCGAGUUGGCAGGGGUUGUGGGGCUUGCGACAAGGGACUUUUGGACGAUAGCCAAACGGCAUGGAAAGGCCGGCCAUAGACGGUGACAGCCCGGUAGGCGUUGGAAGGAAGCUCGAGCAAGUACCCGAGUACCGCAGGACACGUGAAAUCCGGCGGGAAUCUGGGAGGACCAUCUUCCAAGGCUAAAUACUACCUACCGACCGAUAGUGCACAAGUACCGUGAGGGAAAGGUGAAAAGAACCCCGGCGAGGGGAGUGAAAUAGAACCUGAAACCCUACAUCUACAAGCAGUGAGAGCACCAUGCUCUUCGGAGCCAGUGCGAUCGCGUACCUUUUGCAUAAUGGGCCUGCGAGUUAUCGUAUGUGGCAAGGUUAAGCCGUGAGGCGGAGCCGGAGCGAAAGCGAGUCUUAACAGGGCGUACAGUCGCAUGCGGUAGACCCGAAACCUUAGCGAUCUAUCCAUGGCCAGGUUGAAAGGCGGGUAACACCGCUCGGAGGACCGAACCCACUGAGGUUGAAAACUCAGGGGAUGAGUUGUGGAUAGGAGUGAAAGGCUAAUCAAGCUGGGAGAUAGCUGGUUCUCGCCGAAAUAUAUUGAGGUAUAGCCUCGAGUGAAUUGCGCCGGAGGUAGAGCACUGAAUGGGCUAGGGGCCCCACCAGGUUACCAAACCCAAUCAAACUCCGAAUGCCGGUGACAACUGCUCGGGAGUCAGACUGCGGGAGCUAAGUUCCGUAGUCGAGAGGGAAAGAGCCCAGACCGUCGGCUAAGGUCCCCAAAUCCAUGCUAAGUGUCAAAGGAUGUGGAAACGCUCUGACAACCAGGAGGUUGGCUUAGAAGCAGCCAUCUUUUAAAGAAAGCGUAAUAGCUCACUGGUCGAGCGAGUCUGCGCCGAAAAUGUAACGGGGCUCAAGUAUGGUACCGAAGCUGCGGACUUCCGUACGGAAGUGGUAGGCGAGCAUCGUCAAGGAGAUACACGCCAGACGGAGACGACUGGUUGCGGCCUUGACGAGAGCUUAUGCAGGCAUGAGUAGCGUUAAACCGAGUGAGAAACUCGAGUCGCCGUAAGCCCAAGGUUUCCUGGGGAAGGAUAAUCCUCCCAUGGGUUAGUCGGUUCCUAAGCCAAGGCCGAGAGGCGUAGGUGAUGGGAAGCAGGUUAAUAUUCCUGCACCACCAAUGAUGGCAUUGAAGCAAGCAGGGACGGAGAAGGGUAGGCCAGGCGCAGCGCAAGGUUGUCUGCGUUCAAGCCAGUAGGAGGAGCUGUUAGGACUCAAUAGAGACAAACGGCAGCUCUUAACUCCGAGAGGUGAUGAGGUCUGGACAUGUCCAGGACACCUGGUGAUCCCAUGCUUCCAAGAAAAGCUGCGUGCAGAGCCCCACUGGUGACCGUACCGCAAACCGACUCAGGUGGGCGGGGUGAGAAUCCCAAGGCGCGUGAGAGAACCCUGGUUAAGGAACUAGGCAAAUUGACACCGUAACUUCGGGAGAAGGUGUGCCGUUGGCGGUGACGCUCCUUGCGAGCCAAGCUGCCGGCGGUUGCAGUGAAAUGGGGAUUGUGACUGUUUACUAAAAACACAGGACUCUGCAAAGUCGCAAGACGACGUAUAGGGUCUGAUGCCUGCCCGGUGCUGGAAGGUUAAGGGGAAGUGUUAGCGCAAGCAAAGCACCCAACCGAAGCCCCAGUAAACGGCGGCCGUAACUAUAACGGUCCUAAGGUAGCGAAAUUCCUUGUCGGGUAAGUUCCGACCUGCACGAAUGGCAUAACAACAUUCCCGCUGUCUCAACCAGGGACUCAGCGAAAUUGCAUAGGGGGUGAAGAUGCCCUCUACCCGCGGCAAGACGGAAAGACCCCAUGAACCUUUACUGCAACUUGGCAGUGAACUUCGGGUUGUUCUGCGUAGGAUAGGUGGGAGGCUUUGAGGUCGGGCUUCUGGGUUCGGCUGAGCCACCGUUGAAAUACCACCCUGGACCAUCUGGGGUUCUAACCUAGGCCCGUUAUCCGGGUCGGGGACACUGCCUGGUGGGCAGUUUGACUGGGGCGGUCGCCUCCCAAAUCGUAACGGAGGCGUGCGAAGGUUCCCUCAGCCUGAUUGGAAACCAGGCGUAGAGUGCAAACGCAUAAGGGAGCUUAACUGUAAGACCGACAGGUCGAGCAGGUGCGAAAGCAGGUGUUAGUGAUCCGGUGGUUCCUCAUGGAAGGGCCAUCGCUCAUCGGAUAAAAAUCCUGGGGCUGGAGCAGGUCCCAAGGGUUUGGCUGUUCGCCAAUUAAAGCGGUACGCGAGCUGGGUUUAGAACGUCGUGAGACAGUUCGGUCCCUAUCUGCCGUGGGCGUAGGAUACUUGAGAGGAGUUGCCCAUAGUACGAGAGGACCUGGGUGAACGUACCUCUAGUGAUCCGGUUGUUUCGCCAGAAGCAUCGCCGGGUAGCCACGUACGGAACGGAUAACCGCUGAAAGCAUCUAAGCGGGAAACCGGCCUCAAGACUAGGUAUCCCGUCGUAUGACCUAAAGGCCCCACGUAGACCACGUGGUCGAUAGGCUGGGUGUGGAAGUACAGCAAUGUACGGAGCUAACCAGUACUAAUAGGCCGUGCGGCUUGACC